AAGCAAAUUGCCGAUGGCAAAGAAGUAGAUGUCUCAAGUAAGAAGCCGAGAAGAUCCGGCCGAAAGAGAAAGGAGCUGGAUCUAGAGAGGACCUCAACAAUCCCACUGAAUAAAAGAAGAACAAUUCGAUCUCUGGCACGGUCUCUAGGUGUGGCUCGAUCGACCCUACACAAGAGGUUCCAGUUGAAUGAGCUCAACGGCAUCACAAGCACCGUGAAGCCUCACCUAAAGCUAGAGAACAAGCUUGCGAGACUGAAAUUUUGUAUGUCCAUGGUCGAUGACAAUUCGAUCUCAACUUCUCAGGCUAUGUUCAAACCAAUGACGAAUAUGGUUCACAUCGAUGAAAAGUGGUUUGACAUGACGAGAGUGAAGAAUAGUUACUAUGUACUUCCAGGAGAACCUGAACCGAAGCGCACUGUGUCAAACACUCACAACAUUGGGAAGGUAAUGUUCCUAACAGUUGUUGCCAGGCCUCGAUAG
RNAcentral lists this ribosomal RNA (480 nucleotides) under Triticum aestivum (bread wheat). RNAcentral's name for it is "partial small subunit ribosomal RNA". The record is from RNAcentral. Lineage: Eukaryota; Viridiplantae; Streptophyta; Magnoliopsida; Poales; Poaceae.